UGCAGUCGAGCGGAAAGGCCCUUCGGGGUACUCGAGCGGCGAACGGGUGAGUAACACGUGAGUAAUCUGCCCCAGGCUCUGGGAUAGCCACCGGAAACGGUGAUUAAUACCGGAUACGACAACCGAUUGCAUGAUCUGGUUGUGGAAAGUUUUUCGGCCUGGGAUGUGCUCGCGGCCUAUCAGCUUGUUGGUGAGGUAAUGGCUCACCAAGGCUUCGACGGGUAGCCGGCCUGAGAGGGUGACCGGCCACACUGGGACUGAGACACGGCCCAGACUCCUACGGGAGGCAGCAGUGGGGAAUAUUGGACAAUGGGCGGAAGCCUGAUCCAGCAACGCCGCGUGAGGGAUGACGGCCUUCGGGUUGUAAACCUCUUUCAGCACAGACGAAGCGCAAGUGACGGUAUGUGCAGAAGAAGGACCGGCCAACUACGUGCCAGCAGCCGCGGUAAUACGUAGGGUCCGAGCGUUGUCCGGAAUUAUUGGGCGUAAAGGGCUCGUAGGCGGUCUGUCGCGUCGGGAGUGAAAACCAGGUGCUUAACACCUGGCCUGCUUCCGAUACGGGCAGACUAGAGGUACUCAGGGGAGAAUGGAAUUCCUGGUGUAGCGGUGAAAUGCGCAGAUAUCAGGAGGAACACCGGUGGCGAAGGCGGUUCUCUGGGAGUAUCCUGACGCUGAGGAGCGAAAGCGUGGGGAGCAAACAGA
RNAcentral lists this ribosomal RNA (702 nucleotides) under Nocardioides sp. EUM 96. Its description in RNAcentral is "bacterial SSU rRNA". It matches the Rfam family "Bacterial small subunit ribosomal RNA", at positions 56 to 776 of the family's 1533-position model. Lineage: Bacteria; Bacillati; Actinomycetota; Actinomycetes; Propionibacteriales; Nocardioidaceae. The record is from RNAcentral.